GAGGAAUAUUGGUCAAUGGGCGAGAGCCUGAACCAGCCAAGUCGCGUGAAGGAAGACUGUCCUAUGGAUUGUAAACUUCUUUUGUACGGGAAUAAAGUGGGCUACGUGUAGCCUUUUGUAUGUACCGUACGAAUAAGGAUCGGCUAACUCCGUGCCAGCAGCCGCGGUAAUACGGAGGAUCCGAGCGUUAUCCGGAUUUAUUGGGUUUAAAGGGUGCGUAGGUGGAUUGAUAAGUCAGUGGUGAAAGUUUGCAGCUUAACUGUAAAAUUGCCGUUGAAACUGUCGGUCUUGAGUGCAAAUGAGGUAGGCGGAAUGCGUCGUGUAGCGGUGAAAUGCUUAGAUAUGACGCAGAACUCCGAUUGCGAAGGCAGCUUACUGGGAUGCAACUGACACUGAGGCACGAAAGCGUGGGUAUCAAAC
This 420-nucleotide ribosomal RNA is filed under the name uncultured bacterium. RNAcentral's name for it is "bacterial SSU rRNA". It matches the Rfam family "Bacterial small subunit ribosomal RNA", at positions 356 to 773 of the family's 1533-position model. The record is from RNAcentral.